This 429-nucleotide ribosomal RNA is filed under the name bacterium. RNAcentral's name for it is "partial 16S ribosomal RNA". It matches the Rfam family "Bacterial small subunit ribosomal RNA", at positions 355 to 776 of the family's 1533-position model. The record is from RNAcentral.
UGGGGAAUCUUCCGCAAUGGACGAAAGUCUGACGGAGCAACGCCGCGUGAGUGAUGACGGCCUUCGGGUUGUAAAGCUCUGUUAAUCGGGACGAAUGGUUCUUGUGCAAAUAGUGCGAGGAUUUGACGGUACCGGAAUAGAAAGCCACGGCUAACUACGUGCCAGCAGCCGCGGUAAUACGUAGGUGGCAAGCGUUGUCCGGAAUUAUUGGGCGUAAAGCGCGCGCAGGCGGAUUGGUCAGUCUGUCUUAAAAGUUCGGGGCUUAACCCCGUGAUGGGAUGGAAACUGCCAAUCUAGAGUAUCGGAGAGGAAAGUGGAAUUCCUAGUGUAGCGGUGAAAUGCGUAGAUAUUAGGAAGAACACCAGUGGCGAAGGCGACUUUCUGGACGAAAACUGACGCUGAGGCGCGAAAGCCAGGGAAGCGAACGGG